CUUCCUCUCCAUUGACCAACAUGGAGCCAUCAUGAAGUUCUUGGCUGGCCUCUUCACUGCAGUGCAGCUGAUCUGGUCCAUGAUGGCUCUGGAUGAGGUCCAGGCUGAGGUUUCAGCCCAGGGCAAGAGGCUCUUUUUUGCUGGAGGAGACUCUUGAGAGUCCCAUGGACUGCAAGAAGAUCAAACCUAUCCAUUUUGAAGGAAAUCAGCCCUGAGUGCUCACUGGAAGCACAGAUCCUGAAGCUGAGGCUCCAAUACUCUGGCCACCUCAUGAGAAGAGAAGACCCCCUGGAAAAGACCCUGAUGCUGGGAAAGAUGGAGGGCAGAAGGAGAAGGGGACAACAGAGGAUGAGAUGGUUGGACAGUGUUCUCGAAGCUACCAACAUGAGUUUGACCAAACUGCGGGAGGCAGUGGAAGACAGGAGUGCCUGGCGUGCUCUGGUCCAUGGGGUCACGAAGAGUCGGACACGACUAAAUGACUAAACAACAACAACAACACAUUAUGUAAAGGCUAUAUUUAAAGAAACAAACACUUUCUUUUGUCUUUGGGAAGUUCUAUAUAAUUGCAUACAGAGUUAUAUGAACUGAAUAUCUGAGUCAUGACAGCCUCAUAACAGAUUAGGGCCCCAGCAAACUAUGAAACUGGCCGCGUGGAAAAGGUACAGGAUGUCCCCAUUAAUGUACUUCCUACUCCAUAGCCAACAAUGACUUACGACCCAAGCCACGUCUGAUAAAACAUACCAGCUGAGUGGUUGGGCACCAACCCAGAUUCUUCCUUCCUCAUGGAGGAAAGGGUAUAUAAAGAGAACUGGUGCCAUUACCCGGGAUAGAAAAGACUGAAAGAGAAGCUCUUCCACUCCAUUGACUAGCGUUGAGCCAUCAUGAAGUUCUCCACCACCCUCUUUGUUGCCGUGCUGCUGAUCUGGUCUGUGAUAGCUCUGGAUGAGGUCCAGGCUGAGGAUUCGGCCCAGGGCAAGACAGGGGCAUUGAACGAUGGGAUUCAUGCAAUCAGGAAACGUGCCUCAAGCAGUGGCAAAAAGGGAGCGGCUAAAGGGCCUAAACCGGGCACAAAUCGUCCUAAACCAGACCCCAAGAUAGGUAUAAAUUGACAACUUGUCAAAUAUGACCUUCCUGCCUGCUGCUGGCCCUCCUUGGGGCACCUCCACUUCUGCAACCAGACACUGAGAUGCUCCGGUUCAUUUUGAUCUAACCUCCAACGCCUGCCUCCCCCCAAAGAUGUCCAAAGGUUCAGCACAUGGUCUUCAAUCAUCUGCCCAUCACUGUUGGUUUCUCUCCAUGCAGAAGGACCCCAGCAUUGGGGCAUCAAUUGCAAUGGUCCAAUAAAAAAA
Zootoca vivipara (common lizard) is the source of this 1349-nucleotide long non-coding RNA. RefSeq lists it as uncharacterized. The record is from RefSeq and is a predicted model, not a curated record. Lineage: Eukaryota; Metazoa; Chordata; Lepidosauria; Squamata; Lacertidae.